RNAcentral lists this transfer RNA (73 nucleotides) under Aeromonas phage Akh-2. Its description in RNAcentral is "tRNA-Lys". It matches the Rfam family "tRNA". Rfam says of the family: Transfer RNA (tRNA) molecules are approximately 80 nucleotides in length. Their secondary structure includes four short double-helical elements and three loops (D, anti-codon, and T loops). Further hydrogen bonds mediate the characteristic L-shaped molecular structure. tRNAs have two regions of fundamental functional importance: the anti-codon, which is responsible for specific mRNA codon recognition, and the 3' end, to which the tRNAs corresponding amino acid is attached (by aminoacyl-tRNA synthetases). tRNAs cope with the degeneracy of the genetic code in two manners: having more than one tRNA (with a specific anti-codon) for a particular amino acid; and 'wobble' base-pairing, i.e. permitting non-standard base-pairing at the 3rd anti-codon position. The record is from RNAcentral. Lineage: Duplodnaviria; Heunggongvirae; Uroviricota; Caudoviricetes; Demerecviridae.
AGACCACUAACUUAAUGGUUAGAGUACCCGCCUCUUAAGCGGAAGGUUCUGAGUUCGAGUCUCAGGUGGUCUA